This 1239-nucleotide ribosomal RNA is filed under the name Triticum aestivum (bread wheat). RNAcentral describes it as "partial small subunit ribosomal RNA". The record is from RNAcentral. Lineage: Eukaryota; Viridiplantae; Streptophyta; Magnoliopsida; Poales; Poaceae.
AUGUGGUAUGCUCCUAUAAUACCACGGUUGAAACGUCUGUUCAGAAACAAAGAGCAUGCCAAGUUGCUGCGAUGGCACAGUGAGGACCGUAAGAAAGACGGGAAGUUGAGAGCACCCGCUGACGGGUCGCAGUGGAGAAAAAUCGAGAGAAAGUACUGGGAUGAGUUUGCAAAGGACCCAAGGAAUGUAUGGUUUGCUUUAAGCGCGGAUGGCAUUAAUCCUUUCAGGAAGCAGAGCAGCAAUCACAACACCUGGUCCGUGACUCUAUGUAUGUAUAACCUUCCUCCUUGGAUGUGCAUGAAGCGGAAGUUUAUUAUGAUGCCAGUUCUCAUCCAAGGCCCUAAGCAACCCGGCAACGACAUUGAUGUGUACCUAAGGCCAUUAGUUGAAGAACUUUUACAGUUGUGGAAUGGAAACAGUGUACGUACAUGGGAUGAGCACAGACAGGAGGAAUUUAACCUAAAUGCGUUGCUGUUCGUGACCAUCAAUGAUUGGCCCGCUCUCAGUAACCUUUCAGGACAGACAAACAAAGGAUACCACGCAUGCACGCACUGUUUAGAUGACACUGAAAGUAUAUACCUGGACAAAUGCAGGAAGAAUGUGUACCUGGGCCAUCGUCAAUUUCUUCCGACCAACCAUCAAUGUCGAAAGAAAGACAAGCAUUUUAAAGGCGAGGCAGAUCACCGGAAGAAGCCCGCCAUGCGUACCGGUGAUCACAUACUUGCUAUGGUCAAUGAUUUACACGUAAUCUUUGGAAAGGGUCCCGGUGGACUAGCUGUUCCGAAUGACACUGAGGGACACACACCCAUGUGGAAGAAGAAAUCUAUAUUUUGGGACCUACCCUACUGGAAAGACCUAGAGGUCCGCUCUUCAAUCGACGUGAUGCACGUGACGAAGAACCUUUGCGUGAACCUGCUAGGCUUCUUGGGCGUGUAUGGGAAGACAAAAGAUACACCUGAGGCACGGGAGGACCUGCAACGUUUGCACGAAAAAGACGGCAUGCCUGCGAAGCAGUAUAAAGUUCCUGCCAGCUACGCUCUUACGAAAAAAGAGAAAGAAAUCUUCUUUGAAUGCCUGCUCAGUAUGAAGGUCAUAACUGGCUUCUCCUCGAAUAUAAAGGGAAUAAUAAAUAUGCCAGAGAAAAAGUUUCAAAACCUAAAGUCUCAUGACUGCCACGUGAUUAUGACGCAACUGCUUCCGGUUGCAUUGAGGGGGCUUUACCAGAAAACGUCCGAUUAG